GGCGUGCCUAAACAUGCAAGUAGAACGCUGAAGGAAGGAGCUUGCUCUUUCCGGAUGAGUUGCGAACGGGUGAGUAACGCGUAGGUAACCUGCCUGGUAGCGGGGGAUAACUAUUGGAAACGAUAGCUAAUACCGCAUAACAGUAGAUAUCGCAUGAUAUUCUGCUUGAAAGGUGCAAAUGCACCACUACCAGAUGGACCUGCGUUGUAUUAGCUAGUUGGUGAGGUAACGGCUCACCAAGGCAACGAUACAUAGCCGACCUGAGAGGGUGAUCGGCCACACUGGGACUGAGACACGGCCCAGACUCCUACGGGAGGCAGCAGUAGGGAAUCUUCGGCAAUGGACGGAAGUCUGACCGAGCAACGCCGCGUGAGUGAAGAAGGUUUUCGGAUCGUAAAGCUCUGUUGUAAGAGAAGAACGAGUGUGAGAGUGGAAAGUUCACACUGUGACGGUAUCUUACCAGAAAGGGACGGCUAACUACGUGCCAGCAGCCGCGGUAAUACGUAGGUCCCGAGCGUUGUCCGGAUUUAUUGGGCGUUAAGCGAGCGCACGCGGUUAUAUAAGUCUGAA
Molecule: ribosomal RNA, 570 nt
Filed under: Streptococcus sp.
Lineage: Bacteria; Bacillati; Bacillota; Bacilli; Lactobacillales; Streptococcaceae
Description: bacterial SSU rRNA
Rfam family: Bacterial small subunit ribosomal RNA
Source: RNAcentral